Molecule: transfer RNA, 72 nt
Filed under: Stephanopyxis turris
Lineage: Eukaryota; Bacillariophyta; Melosirophyceae; Stephanopyxales; Stephanopyxidaceae
Description: tRNA-Met
Rfam family: tRNA
About the family: Transfer RNA (tRNA) molecules are approximately 80 nucleotides in length. Their secondary structure includes four short double-helical elements and three loops (D, anti-codon, and T loops).
Source: RNAcentral
AAGCUUGUAAUUCAGGGGUAGAAUGUACCGCUCAUAACGGUCCAGUCGUAGGUUCAAAUCCUACCAAGCUUA